RNAcentral lists this ribosomal RNA (433 nucleotides) under uncultured bacterium. Its description in RNAcentral is "partial 16S ribosomal RNA". It matches the Rfam family "Bacterial small subunit ribosomal RNA", at positions 29 to 507 of the family's 1533-position model. The record is from RNAcentral.
AACGAGCGCUGGCGGCAUGCCUAACACAUGCAAGUCGAACGAGACCUUCGGGUCUAGUGGCGCACGGGUGCGUAACGCGUGGGAACCUGCCCUUAGGUUCGGAAUAACUCCCCGAAAGGGGUGCUAAUACCGGAUAAUGUCUUCGGACCAAAGAUUUAUCGCCUUUGGAUGGGCCCGCGUUGGAUUAGCUAGUUGGUAGGGUAAAAGCCUACCAAGGCGACGAUCCAUAGCUGGUCUGAGAGGAUGAUCAGCCACACUGGGACUGAGACACGGCCCAGACUCCUACGGGAGGCAGCAGUGGGGAAUAUUGGACAAUGGGCGAAAGCCUAAUCCAGCAAUGCCGAGUGAGUGAUGAAGGCCUUAGGGUUGUAAAGCUCUUUUACCCGGGAUGAUAAUGACAGUACCGGGAGAAUAAGCUCCGGCUAACUCCGUG